Molecule: ribosomal RNA, 471 nt
Filed under: uncultured bacterium
Lineage: Bacteria
Description: bacterial SSU rRNA
Rfam family: Bacterial small subunit ribosomal RNA
Source: RNAcentral
GAUGAACGCUGGCGGCGUGCUUAAUACAUGCAAGUCGAACGAAGACAUCUGAGUGCUUGCACUUGGAUGGACUGAGUGGCGGACGGGUGAGUAACGCGUGGGUAACCUGCCUUAUACAGGGGGAUAACAGUUGGAAACGACUGCUAAUACCGCAUAAGCGCACGGUAUCGCAUGAUACAGUGUGAAAAACUCCGGUGGUAUAAGAUGGACCCGCGUCUGAUUAGCUUGUUGGUGAGGUAACGGCCCACCAAGGCGACGAUCAGUAGCCGGACUGAGAGGUUGAACGGCCACAUUGGGACUGAGAUACGGCCCAGACUCCUACGGGAGGCAGCAGUGGGGAAUAUUGGGCAAUGGGCGCAAGCCUGACCCAGCAACGCCGCGUGAAGGAAGAAGGCUUUCGGGUUGUAAACUUCUUUUGUCAGGGACGAGUAGAAGACGGUACCUGACGAAUAAGCCACGGCUAACUACGUG